GACGAACGCUGGCGGCGUGCCUAAUACAUGCAAGUAGGACGCACAGCCUAUACCGUAGCUUGCUACACCAUAGGCUGUGAGUCGCGAACGGGUGAGUAACGCGUAGGUAACCUGCCUAUUAGAGGGGGAUAACUAUUGGAAACGAUAGCUAAUACCGCAUAACAGUAUGUAACACAUGUUAGAUGCUUGAAAGAUGCAAUUGCAUCGCUAGUAGAUGGACCUGCGUUGUAUUAGCUAGUAGGUAGGGUAAUGGCCUACCUAGGCAACGAUACAUAGCCGACCUGAGAGGGUGAUCGGCCACACUGGGACUGAGACACGGCCCAGACUCCUACGGGAGGCAGCAGUAGGGAAUCUUCGGCAAUGGGGGGAACCCUGACCGAGCAACGCCGCGUGAGUGAAGAAGGUUUUCGGAUCGUAAAGCUCUGUUGUUAAGGAAGAACGAGUGUGAGAAUGGAAAGUUCAUACUGUGACGGUACUUAACCAGAAAGGGACGGCUAACUACGUGCCAGCAGCCGCGGUAAUACGUAGGUCCCGAGCGUUGUCCGGAUUUAUUGGGCGUAAAGCGAGCGCAGGCGGUUAGAAAAGUCUGAAGUGAAAGGCAGUGGCUCAACCAUUGUAGGCUUUGGAAACUGUUUAACUUGAGUGCAGAAGGGGAGAGUGGAAUUCCAUGUGUAGCGGUGAAAUGCGUAGAUAUAUGGAGGGAACACCGGUGGCGAAAGCGGCUCUCUGGUCUGUCACUGACGCUGAGGCUCGAAAGCGUGGGGGAGCGAACAGG
RNAcentral lists this ribosomal RNA (775 nucleotides) under Streptococcus anginosus. RNAcentral describes it as "bacterial SSU rRNA". It matches the Rfam family "Bacterial small subunit ribosomal RNA", at positions 28 to 776 of the family's 1533-position model. Lineage: Bacteria; Bacillati; Bacillota; Bacilli; Lactobacillales; Streptococcaceae. The record is from RNAcentral.